RNAcentral lists this long non-coding RNA (354 nucleotides) under Homo sapiens (human). Its description in RNAcentral is "non-protein coding lnc-MORF4L1-4:1". Lineage: Eukaryota; Metazoa; Chordata; Mammalia; Primates; Hominidae. The record is from RNAcentral.
CAGCGGCGGUUACAGCAGACCAUAAAGGAGCAGGCACUGCUGAACGCACACGUGACACAGGUGACAGAGUCACUAAAACAAGUCCAGCUAGAGCAGGACGAAUAUGCUAAACACAUAAAAGGAGAGAGGGCCCGGCAGCAGGAGAGGAUGUGGAAAAUGUCGGUGGAGGCUCGCACAUUGAAGGAAGAGAAGAAGCGUGACAUACAUCGGAUACAGGAGCUGGAGAGAAGCUUCUCUGAACUGCAAAACCAGAUGGUGACAUGGGAGGCAGACACCAAGUUCAGGGGUCUCCCGCUGCAGUGGAUGGCCACUGAUUGUUUCUGUCCAGAACAACGAGAACAAGAGCACACUGCA